AUACGUAGGUGACAAGCGUUAUCCGGAUUUACUGGGCGUAAAGGGCGUGUAGGCGGUCUUGCAAGUCAGAAGUGAAAUUCCUGAGCUCAACUCGGGCGCUGCUUCUGAAACUGCAGGACUUGAGUGCUGGAGGGGAUAGCGGAAUUCCUAGUGGAGCGGUAAAAUGCGCAGAUAUUAGGAAGAACACCGGUGGCGAAGGCGGCUAUCUGGACAGUAACUGACGCUGAGGCGCGAAAGCGUGAGGAGCAAACAGGAUUAGAUACCCUGGUAGUCCACACCGCCAACGAUGAGCACUAGGUGUCGGGCUCGCAAGAGUUCGGUGCCGCAGUUAACGCAUUAAGGGCUCGGCCUGGGGAGUACGUACGCAAGUAUGAAACUCAAAUGAAUUGGUGGGG
This 395-nucleotide ribosomal RNA is filed under the name uncultured bacterium. Its description in RNAcentral is "partial 16S ribosomal RNA". It matches the Rfam family "Bacterial small subunit ribosomal RNA", at positions 523 to 918 of the family's 1533-position model. The record is from RNAcentral.